This 401-nucleotide ribosomal RNA is filed under the name uncultured diatom. Its description in RNAcentral is "bacterial SSU rRNA". It matches the Rfam family "Bacterial small subunit ribosomal RNA", at positions 355 to 770 of the family's 1533-position model. Lineage: Eukaryota; Bacillariophyta. The record is from RNAcentral.
UGGGGAAUUUUCCGCAAUGGGCGAAAGCCUGACGGAGCAAUACCGCGUGAGGGAUGACUGCCUAUGGGUUGUAAACCUCUUUUUUCAGGGAGGAAUCAAUGACGUGUACCUGAAGAAUAAGCAUCGGCUAACUCCGUGCCAGCAGCCGCGGUAAGACGGAGGAUGCAAGUGUUAUCCGGAAUCACUGGGCGUAAAGCGUCUGUAGGUGGUUUAAUAAGUCAACUGUUAAAUCUUGAGGCUCAACUUCAAAAUCGCAGUCGAAACUAUUAGACUAGAGUAUAGUAGGGGUAAAGGGAAUUUCCAGUGGAGCGGUGAAAUGCGUAGAGAUUGGAAAGAACACCGAUGGCGAAGGCACUUUACUGGGCUAUUACUAACACUCAGAGACGAAAGCUAGGGUAGCA